This is a long non-coding RNA of Betta splendens (Siamese fighting fish), 818 nucleotides long. RefSeq lists it as uncharacterized. The transcript is spliced from 3 exons. NCBI's taxonomy places the organism in Eukaryota, Metazoa, Chordata, Actinopteri, Anabantiformes, Osphronemidae. The record is from RefSeq and is a predicted model, not a curated record.
AUGGAAACGAGGAGCAGCGGCGAAAAGAAAACAUAUUUAUAUUCAUAACAACGAGCAAAGGCUGAAGAAGUCAGAUACUAUUAUAACAGCAUCAAAGCGAAGCUCUGUCUUUAAUUUCCUCCCUCUCUUCUUCACAGUUCAUCCUCUGCUCGCUGGAAAAUGCUUUUAUUGAUUCCAAGAGCCUGGGGAUUAGCGGGGAUCCAGGUGCCGGAGCCUCUGGGAAGCUGCAGCUGUCGGACUCGAGGCCUCGGAGCCGAAUGUGUCUUCAGGGAACGUCGCGAAUGAUUCAAGGGAGCUCCCACUGAGGGACGGGGAGAGGAUACAGAGUGGAGACCUGGGGAAACGCUCAAGGACGGAGCCUCGAGAUGCGCCGGGCGCGUCCCGAGUCGUUGGCUGGCGGACAGGAAGUGAGGGGACGCGAGGGGACGCGAGGGGACUCAUGUACAAGUAAUCAGAGCGUCUCGUCAUGAGCGCACACGGACGGAGUUGGCUUUGAAGUCGUCUCUAAUCCUGCGUCAGUGCUGAGCCCACUGGACUGAACAGGCCCGCGUCCAUCAGAGACGCUGGUCGUCGGUCCGUCCCAUCGCGUUCCUGCUCUGUGCAUGCGUGGCUCACCUGUGGCUGAGCUGCACCCCCCUCAGGCUGGUCAUGGUCUCUUCCAGGUUCUGUCGAAGGUCCAAAACGUUUUGCACCGUCCUCUUCCUCUGGGACUCUGGGUCUGCAGGGGUGCACACAUACAGCAAUAAGGACCCUGACCCGCAUGCAACGUGCAAGAAUCCAGUUCAAACCAGCGCAUGAAUGAAAAUGGCAAAGUAGGA